This is a long non-coding RNA of Ictalurus furcatus (blue catfish), 3213 nucleotides long. RefSeq lists it as uncharacterized. The transcript is spliced from 2 exons. Lineage: Eukaryota; Metazoa; Chordata; Actinopteri; Siluriformes; Ictaluridae. The record is from RefSeq and is a predicted model, not a curated record.
ACCACUCAAACCCUCUAGUGUGUGAAUCUCCCAGAGCUUACACAUUCAAACUGAAACUACACAAGCACUACAAACGUGUGUGUGUGUGUGUGUGUGUGUGUGUGUGUGUUUGUAUUUGUGUAACAAAUACAGUAACAGUAAACCGUUUUUGUGUUGAUCUUGAUGUAUGUUUUGGAUCAUUGUCCUGCUGGAAGAUCCAACCACGGCCCAUUUGAAGCUUUCUGUCAGAGGCAGUCAGGUUUUCAUUUAAUAUCUGUUGAUAUUUGAUAGUCCAUUACGCCAUGCAUCCUUUCUCUGUACCGUCACUUUGGGGUGGUAGUUACAUCCAUCGACUUGGAUAAGCAAGUUACAAGCCAUCGAUAAGGGAAACCUGAGAUCAAGAUACAUCUCAGGUUUUAUUUAUCUAUACGAUAUUUAUUUAUACAUCCAACGAUUUAAACAUACUGGUUCUCCACAAAAGUAUUAAAGAAAGGAUCUCAAAACCGUGAUGUGCCUCCGAACCCUCAAAGCUCCGCUCGCUCGUUUAUUCACAUUGGCAGAAUAUUCCCGAAGUGUUCGCCAGCCUCCUGAAUCAAUAUCCACAAGGUUAUAAUCCACAGUAAGAGCAUUAGCAUGGUCCUUGGCAAACGCACACCAUCAGUUCCGCCAUUCCCACCUGGCUCUCAUUUCCGCGUCCCGCUUUCUCUCACCUAGUCACCUGUUCUUUUUAUUGCUUCCUAAGACCCCACCCUUCUCUUCAUCUCUUUUUUUACUUCCGUUAAUUAAAACACCACGGAAUGGAACGGACUCCGCUUCUGCGUCACUAAAUGGUAAAAUGGUAAAUGGCACACUUAUAUAGCGCUUUUAUCCAAAGCGCUUUACACUGUGUCUCAUUUACCCAUUCACACACCAAUGGUAGCAGAGCUGCCAUGCAAGGCGCUAACUUGCCAUCGGGAGCAACUUGGGGUUCAGUGUCUUGCCCAAGGACACUUUGGCAUGUGGAGUCAUGCUGGCUGGGAAUCAAACCGCCAACCCUACGAUUAGUGGACAACCCGCUCUACCACCUGAUCCACAGCCACCCCGUCACUGUGCAGCUAUCUGUUACAAAUGAAUGGGAAAAUAUCCUUGGCAUCCCUGCAAUUCAAGGAUGUUGUAAUUGGUAAGUUGUGAUGUCAAAAGUAUCUGUACCAAGUUGAUACUAAAAUUUUAAAAAGAAUGAUACGAUAAGUUUUUUUUUCAGUACCGGCAGUACCAAGUAUUCUCCUGCUUUCUGAUUGACUUUCUUUUGUAGGUAUUAAUUAACCGUGAUUUCCACUCAGCCAUCUUACUGGAAUUUGUGUAGGUUAGGAAUAAGACUGAGGAUGGAGUUGUACAGUUUUGUAGUGUGUAUCGUUUGUAAAUAUUGUUAACUUCUUUACCAUAGCCAUGCUGAGGGAGGUGUUGACUAAAUUAGAGAUGGUGCUGGACCAACAAACCACUGAGCUUGCUUCAACUACAGGUGUUCCAGGUGCAGUCUUUGGAUACUGAUGAAGAUUUACUGCCCUGCAAGAUCUUCCUCAACUGCAUAGUCUGGAGCGAAGGAUGCAACAGAGCCCAGAUUGCAAGCAAAAACUGGUGAGAAUUUUUUUCUUUUUUUGUUAACAAUUGCUUGCACAAUUACACAGCGACUGAGAGUGUUUGUUUUCUCAAGGUGACACACUCGUACUCAAAGCACAACAUUCAACACCACUUUGAUAUGAGGGAACAGUUAUGACCUAAUCUUUGGUAGAGGAGCAAAACAUGGAAAGCACACAGGGCAGGGUAACUGCAGGAGUAGUGAGAAGCACUGACACAGUUGACAAGGCAAUACAUGCUUAUUAAUUAUUUAUAUUUUAUAUUAUUUUAUAUUAUAUUAUUGUUUUAAAAAUCAUCGGUUUCGGGUAAACUGGUUGGCGCUUAUUGACAGGGCAGAUGUGCUUGACUGCACCUGGCGCAUAUUGAAGAGGGUGAUUGCUAACUCCCUGGCAAAGAACCUCAAUUGGAGGGGAGUCAAUGGAAAGACUUCACUGGCCACUCUCCAACUUGGGGAGGUCAUGAUUGAAACCUCUUCACGGCUAAAGCUGCAGAGAUGGAGGUCGAGGGGACCAUGAAGAGGUGGCUCCAGCUGGCAUCAGAUCGAGAGUGCGGGCGCAAGAGAAGACUUUUGAAAACUUUUGCAAAAAGAAGGUAUUUAGAGUGUUUUAACUGUGGUGUCUUUGUUAAUUUGUUAAAAUGUUCAUAUUAUAGUCUAUUUUUGAUUGUUUAUAAAAGUCCUUACUGUUUUUAAGUGGUUGAAAUUGUGUGUGUGUGUGUUGGUAGCUGGGUGGCUAUACAGUUGCGGUCGGAAGUUUACAUACCCCUUGCAGAAUCUACAAAAUCUUAAUACUCUUAACAAAAUAAGAUUGAUCAUAAAAAUCCUAAGUUUCUUAUUUAGUACCGCCAUGAAUAAACUAUUUCACAUAACAGAUGUUUACAUAUAGUCCACAAGAUAAUAGCUGAAUUAAUCAAAAUUACCCCAUUCAAAAGUUUACACACGUUUGAUUCUUAAUACUGUGUGUCGUUACCUGAAUGAUCCACGACUCUUUUUAUGUGUUAUGAUAGUUGUUCAUGAGUCCCUUGUUUGUCCUGAGCAGUUAAACUGCCCACUGUUCUUCAGAAAAAUGGUUCAUGGUUCUUCAGGUCCUUCACAUACUUUGCUUUUCCUGCAUAUUUUAGCCCUUUCAAGUAGCGGUUAUAUGAUGUUCCGAUCCAUCUUUUCACACUGAGGACAAUCGAAGGACUCGUACACGACUAUUCCAAAAGGUGCAAACAUUCACUGAUGCUCAAGAAGGUAACAGCAUGCAUUAAGAGCCUGGCUGUAAACGUUGUAAACAGGAUGAUCAUGUAAAUUUUUUUGUCUUCUGGGGUACUUCUUCUAUGCUGUAUGAACCAUCUUUCUGUAAUAAACCUUUUUCACCUCAGAGGACGAAUCUGCAAGUGUUGUCUAAUUUCCACGACACAACUCAGUUUUUACAUAUUUUUUUAUUUUAUUUUUAAGAAAAAUAAUUAAAAUUCAAUAACCUUUUGACUGUAUGAGGUACCGGUAAAUGAGAAAAAACAUAGUACUACUUUCAUAAAAUGUCAUGUGCAGCUUGAUGCUAAUUAUAGUAAUGUCUAGUAAUUCUGAGUCUUGAACAGUAAACUCUCAAGUGUCAUUGUCAUGUCACAGCAAACCAG